AAAUCCCCGGGCUUAACCUGGGAAUUGCAUUCGAAACUGCCAGUCUUGAAUACCUGAGGGGUUAGUGGAAUUCCUGGUGUAGGAGUGAAAUCCGUAGAUAUCAGGAGGAACACCAGAGGCGAAGGCGGCUAACUGGCAGUGUAUUGACGCUGAGGUGCGAAAGCGUGGGUAGCAAACAGGAUUAGAUACCCUGGUAGUCCACGCCGUAAACGAUGGAUACUAGGUGUUUGGGGCGUUAACCCCCUGAGUACUGAAGCUAACGCAUUAAGUAUCCCGCCUGGGGAGUACGGUCGCAAGGCUAAAACUCAAAGGAAUUGACGGGGGCCCGCACAAGCGGUGGAGUAUGUGGUUUAAUUCGAAGCAACGCGCAGAACCUUACCUACCCUUAACAUUCUGCGACAGCUUCAGAGAUGGAGUGUUCUCUUCGGAGACGCAGGGACAGGUGCUGCAUGGCUGUCGUCAGCCCGUGUCGUGAGAUGUUGGGUUAAGUCCCGCAACGAGCGCAACCCUCGCCUUUAGUUGCCAUCAAUUCGGUUGGGCACUCUAGAGGGACUGCCGGUGAUAAGCCGGAGGAAGGUGGGGAUGACGUCAAGUCCUCAUGGCCCUUACGGGCUGGGCUACACACGUGCUACAAUGGCGGCGACAGUGGGAUAAUCCCCAAAAGCCGUCUCAGUUCGGAUUGUCCUCUG
RNAcentral lists this ribosomal RNA (689 nucleotides) under uncultured Alphaproteobacteria bacterium. Its description in RNAcentral is "bacterial SSU rRNA". It matches the Rfam family "Bacterial small subunit ribosomal RNA", at positions 597 to 1307 of the family's 1533-position model. The record is from RNAcentral. Lineage: Bacteria; Pseudomonadati; Pseudomonadota; Alphaproteobacteria.